CACGUAGGGCGCAAGCGUUGUCCGGAAUUAUUGGGCGUAAAGAGCUCGUAGGUGGUUUGUUACGUCUGCUGUGAAAACCUCGGGCUUAACUCGGGGCUUGCUUUCGAUACGGGCAGACUGGAGGUAUGCAGGGGAGAACGGAAUUCCUGGUGUAGCGGUGAAAUGCGCAGAUAUCGGGAGGAACACCAGAGGCGAAGGCGGCUUUCUGGCCUGUAACUGACGCUGAGGCGCGAAGGCUGGGGUAGCGAACAGG
RNAcentral lists this ribosomal RNA (253 nucleotides) under uncultured bacterium. RNAcentral describes it as "partial 16S ribosomal RNA". It matches the Rfam family "Bacterial small subunit ribosomal RNA", at positions 524 to 776 of the family's 1533-position model. The record is from RNAcentral.